ACUGCGUACCUUUUGUAUAAUGGGUCAGCGACUUAUAUUCUGUAGCAAGGUUAACCGUAUAGGGGAGCCGGAGGGAAACCGAGUCUUAACCGGGCGUUAAGUUGCAGGGUAUAGACCCGAAACCCGGUGAUCUAGCCAUGGGCAGGUUGAAGGUUGGGUAACACUAACUGGAGGACCGAACCGACUAAUGUUGAAAAAUUAGCGGAUGACCUGUGGCUGGGGGUGAAAGGCCAAUCAAACCGGGAGAUAGCUGGUUCUCCCCGAAAGCUAUUUAGGUAGCGCCUCGUGAAUUCAUCUCCGGGGGUAGAGCACUGUUUCGGCUAGGGGGCCAUCCCGGCUUACCAACCCGAUGCAAACUGCGAAUACCGGAGAAUGUUAUCACGGGAGACACACGGCGGGUGCUAACGUCCGUCGUGAAGAGGGAAACAACCCAGACCGCCAGCUAAGGUCCCAAAGUCAUGGUUAAGUGGGAAACGAUGUGGGAAGGCCCAGACAGCCAGGAUGUUGGCUUAGAAGCAGCCAUCAUUUAAAGAAAGCGUAAUAGCUCACUGGUCGAGUCGGCCUGCGCGGAAGAUGUAACGGGGCUAAACCAUGCACCGAAGCUGCGGCAGCGAACGUAUCACCCAAGACAACUUUACGGAGUUGACGAUUGACGGAGCGAAGCGACGUCAAAGCGUUCAUUAAAGUCGAGUUGGCUUAGGGAUACGUUCGUUGGGUAGGGGAGCGUUCUGUAAGCCUGUGAAGGUGUGUCGUGAGGCAUGCUGGAGGUAUCAGAAGUGCGAAUGCUGACAUAAGUAACGAUAAAGCGGGUGAAAAGCCCGCUCGCCGGAAGACCAAGGGUUCCUGUCCAACGUUAAUCGGGGCAGGGUGAGUCGACCCCUAAGGCGAGGCCGAAAGGCGUAGUCGAUGGGAAACGGGUUAAUAUUCCCGUACUUGGUGUUACUGCGAAGGGGGGACGGAGAAGGCUAUGUUGGCCGGGCGACGGUUGUCCCGGUUUAAGCGUGUAGGUGUGUGUUCCAGGUAAAUCCGGUU
Molecule: ribosomal RNA, 1032 nt
Filed under: Salmonella enterica subsp. enterica serovar Typhimurium
Lineage: Bacteria; Pseudomonadati; Pseudomonadota; Gammaproteobacteria; Enterobacterales; Enterobacteriaceae
Description: partial 23S ribosomal RNA
Rfam family: Bacterial large subunit ribosomal RNA
Source: RNAcentral